GCACCUUUGUGUCCUGGCUUUUUCAUUUUUUAAAAUUAGUUUUCACGAUUCCAAAGUAAGUGGUAUAAAAACAAUUAGGAUGAAUUCACCCAUGCCUGACUGCACAUCGAAGUGUCGAUCCCUGAAGCAUGCUUUGGAUGUCCUUUCUGUGGUAACAAAGGGGAGCGAAAACCAGAUUAAGGCCUUUCUCUCCAGUCAUUGUUACAAUGCUGCAACUAUCAAGGAUGUUUUUGGCAGGAAUGCCCUCCACCUUGUUUCCUCCUGUGGAAAGAAAGGAGUGUUAGAAUGGCUUAUUCAGAAAGGAGUGGAUCUGUUGGUGAAAGACAAAGAGUCUGGAUGGACAGCAUUGCACAGAAGCAUUUUUUAUGGACAUAUUGAUUGUGUUUGGUCUCUAUUGAAGCAUGGUGUUAGUCUGUAUAUUCAAGAUAAAGAAGGCUUAUCCUACAGAUGUUUAUACUUGGGGCGAUAAUACAAAUUUUACCCUGGGUCAUGGAAGCCAGAAUAGCAAACAUCAUCCAGAGUUGGUGGAUCUGUUCUCUAGGAGUGGGAUUUAUAUCAAGCAGGUGGUGCUUUGUAAAUUUCACUCCGUGUUUCUGUCUCAGAAAGGGCAGGUUUAUACCUGUGGUCAUGGUCCUGGAGGGCGAUUAGGACAUGGAGAUGAACAGACAUGCUUGGUCCCUCGGCUUGUGGAAGGACUGAAUGGUCAUAAUUGUUCCCAAGUGGCAGCUGCUAAGGAUCAUACUGUUGUAUUAACUGAAGAUGGAUGUGUUUAUACAUUUGGUCUAAACAUUUUUCAUCAAUUAGGAAUUAUUCCACCACCUUCCAGUUGUAAUGUACCCAGACAGAUACAGGCAAAAUAUCUGAAAGGAAGGACAAUCAUUGGCGUUGCAGCAGGCAGGUUUCAUACAGUCCUAUGGACUAGAGAAGCUGUUUACACUAUGGGACUAAAUGGUGGACAACUGGGUUGUUUGCUAGAUCCCAAUGGAGAAAAGUGUGUAACUGCUCCUCGUCAGGUCUCUGCCCUUCACCAUAAAGACAUUGCUCUGUCUUUGGUUGCUGCAAGUGAUGGAGCUACAGUCUGUGUUACCACAAGGGGAGAUAUUUACUUACUUGCAGACUAUCAGUGCAAGAAGAUGGCUUCUAAACAAUUGAACUUGAAAAAAGUUCUUGUGUCUGGGGGUCAUAUGGAAUACAAAGUUGAUCCUGAACAUUUGAAAGAAAAUGGGGGUCAAAAAAUUUGUAUUCUUGCAAUGGAUGGAGCUGGAAGGGUGUUUUGCUGGAGAUCAGUCAACAGUUCUCUGAAGCAGUGUCGAUGGGCCUAUCCACGUCAGGUCUUCAUUUCUGAUAUUGCUUUAAAUAGAAAUGAAAUUCUAUUUGUUACGCAAGAUGGAGAAGGAUUUAGAGGGAGAUGGUUUGAAGAAAAAAGAAAGAGUUCUGAAAAGAAAGAGAUUUUAUCAAACCUUCACAAUUCCUCAUCAGAUGUGUCUUAUGUCUCUGAUAUAAAUAGUGUGUAUGAAAGAAUUCGACUUGAGAAACUUACCUUUGCACAUAGAGCUGUUAGUGUCAGCACAGAUCCAAGUGGAUGCAACUUUGCAAUCCUGCAGUCAGAUCCUAAAACAAGGUUAGAUGGAGUCAGAUUUGAAAAUGAAAAAAUUAAUGUUAUUUCCAAGAACACUGGUAAUAAACUGAAGCUAAGUCAGAAAAAAUGUUCAUUUCUGUGUGACGUGACCAUGAAAUCAGUGGAUGGAAAGGAAUUUCCUUGUCAUAAAUGUGUUCUUUGUGCUAGACUUGAAUAUUUUCACAGUAUGCUGAGUAGCUCAUGGAUUGAGGCUUCCAGUUGUGCAGCUCUGGAAAUGCCAAUACAUUCUGAUAUAUUAAAAGUUAUUUUGGACUACCUCUAUACUGAUGAAGCUGUGGUGAUAAAAGAAUCUCAAAAUGUAGAUUUUAUUUGUAGUGUUCUUGUGGUGGCUGAUCAACUUCUCAUAACCCGGUUGAAAGAGAUUUGUGAAGUAGCAUUAACUGAAAAACUUACCCUGAAGAAUGCUGCUAUGCUACUGGAAUUUGCAGCAAUGUAUAGUGCAAAACAGUUGAAACUGUCUUGUUUACAGUUUAUAGGAUUGAAUAUGGCAGCUUUACUUGAAGCAAGGUCUCUUGAUGUUUUAAGUGAUGGUGUUUUGAAGGAUCUUUCUGAGUUUUACCGGAAAAUGAUUCCAGCAAUGGAUAGAAGAGUCAUUACACCAUAUCAAGAUGGACCAGAUAUUAGCUAUUUGGAAGUAGAAGAUGGAGAUAUCUUCUUGAAAGAAGAAAUAAAUAUGGAACAAAAUCAUUCGGAAACUAUGUUCAAGAAGGCAAAAACAAAAGCUAAAAAGAAGCCACGUAAACGUUCAGAUAGUUCUGGAGGUUAUAACCUUUCAGAUAUUAUUCAGAGUCCAUCAUCUACAGGAUUAUUAAAGUCUGGUAAGACCAAUUCUGUGGAAUCUCUUCCAGAACUGUUGACAUCAGACUCUGAAGGAAGCUAUGCAGGAGUGGGUAGUCCUAGAGAUUUACAGUCCCCUGAUUUCACAACAGGAUUUCAUUCAGAUAAGAUUGAGGCGAAAGUCAAACCAUAUGUUAAUGGUACCUCUCCAGUGUAUUCUAGGGAAGAUUUAAAACCAUGGGAAAAGUCACCAAUACUUAAAAUAUCUGCUCCACAGCCCAUUCCCAGUAACAGAAUUGAUACUACCAGCUCUGCCAGUUGGGUUGCUGGUUCUUUCAGUCCUGUCAGCCCUCCUGUUGUGGAUCUCAGAACCAUCAUGGAAAUAGAAGAAAGUAGACAAAAAUGUGGAGCUACACCAAAGUCACAUUUAGGGUUGGUUGAAAACAUUAUAAAUGAUCAUUUCAUGUUGUAUUUCUGCCUUAAGAAUUGGACAGACUUACUCCAUCUUUCCUAUUAUUUUUCUGCAUUUCAUGUUAUAGUUAAUUAUACAUCCUUUUCUGGGCAAUUUAGCCUCCAUAAUAUUAUUUCUUAAAUAUGUGCUAAAGAUAGAGUUGAGUUGAUAAUCCAGCUCUUGUAGAAUACAGUAUUACAUCCCAGAAACUUGACUCUAAAAUGAUCAUUGUGGACUAUUGGCUACAAAAGCCAAAGAGUUAAGGCUUGUGAUGCAAGUUCUUCUUGAAAUUUAUGGUAUGUUGGAGGGCUCAUAUGUAGCUAUUACUUGAUCAUUGUUAGUAUAAACUGAUAUUUUCAUUGUUGAAACUUGUGAGCAUUUUGAUCCAAUAAUGGUAAAAUAACAUCAAAUAAAUAGAAAACAUUAUUAUUACCAGUAACCUUUAUUAAGCAGAAAUUAAUGUUAAUUGAUAUAAUUUCUAGCAAAAUGAUUUCUCAUGGAAUUAAACUUUGUCAGAAGAAACCACUGAAACUAAUUGGUUUAAUUUCUAGCAAAACAGUUUCUCAUGGAGUUAAACUUUCUCAGAAGCAACGAAAAAUGCUUGCAUUGACUACCAAGGAAAACAAUUCAGGAAUGAAUAGUAUGGAAACAGUUUUAUCCACUCCUUCAAAAGCCCCCAAACCAGUGAAUGCAUGGGCAUCUUCUCUGCAUUCAGUUUCAUCCAAGUUAUUCCGGGAUUUCUUACUAGAAGAAAAAAAGUCUGUUACUAGCCAUAGUUCAGGCGAUCAUGUCAAAAAAGUUUCUUUUAAAGGAAUUGAAAAUUCUCAGGCACCAAAAAUUGUCAGAUGCUCUACCCAUGGUACCCCAGGACCAGAAGGCAACCAUAUUUCAGAUUUACCACUUCUAGACAGUCCCAAUCCCUGGCUAUCUUCUUCAGUGACUGCUCCAUCCAUGGUAGCCCCAGUCACUUUUGCAUCUAUUGUAGAAGAAGAACUACAACAAGAAGCAGCUCUUAUUAGAAGUCGAGAAAAACCAUUGGCUCUGAUUCAGAUUGAGGAGCAUGCCAUACAAGAUUUAUUGGUUUUCUAUGAGGCAUUUGGCAACCCUGAAGAGUUUGUCAUUGUUGAAAGGACACCGCAGGGACCACUGGCAGUACCUAUGUGGAAUAAGCAUGGAUGCUAGUUCACUGUGGAGUUGAGAUGCAUUUUUCAUAAUUAUGAGUUUGUUCAUAUAAAGAAAAGCUGUGGAAAAGAGUCUUAGAGAUUUUGUAAUAUCAUCCUAAAUAGAUUAAGAAAAGAUAUAAUUUCUUUACUGCAGUUAAAUCAUAUAAUGUUUGUAUGAUUAAAAAUAAAUUUCUCAGAAUUGUGAUUUUAGUAACUUUAUAUAAAAUGUGUGAGACAAAAACUUAUUAAGGUUAAAUAGAAUUUUUUCUUCUGAAUAAUCUAACAAAGGAAAAUAUAAGUGAUUGAAUCAUAAGAUAUAAAGGGGGGUGAAGUAUUAAAAAUAACUUUUUUGUUUGAUAACUUGAGAAUUUAGAAGAUUUUGCCAAGUGUGUAUUGUUGCUUGACUUCUUAAAUAUGGCAUUGAUGAAUUUAAAGUAGGAGUAUCAGUUAUUACUUCUGAUUCAUUAAUGGCCAGAAUUUUGUGUUUGGUCUGAUAGUUGUGUCACCAUUCUUGUUGUUUUUUAAAAAUCGGGCUAGGCAUGUGGUCCAUGUCUAUUCAAAGCUUGACCUGCACAAAUGCCAUAUUUCUAUUUGGACCUCAUAUUCUCCAUUUUGCAUUAAGCAGUAGAGUACAGUGGAAAGGGAAUAAGAAUACUGAUUAUUCUGAACAGUUUAGUCCCAAGAGAAUAGCUUUUUUUAAAAAAAAAAAAAAAAAAACAAGAUUUGGAGUCAUUGUAGGUUAUUUUUGGUGGGAUGGAGGAUCUUAAAAAUGCCUAAUUGUGAGAUAAUCAAUUUCUGAAAGUGUUAAAAUUUCUGAAAAUAAAUGCUUAAUUACAUAUACAGAAAUUAAAUAGUUUGGAAGAGGGUUGGAUUAUCAUUACCUUUACAAUACUGUAUAAUCAGAAGUUCUCUGAAUCUCAGUUGUACAUCUAGACAUAAAAAUUGUUUUCUUUAUAGGAUGUUGUUUGGUUUGUUUCUGAGUGUUUAAAUUUUUCAAAAACAAAUGUUAAAUUUGUGCUUCAGUACCUAGAUAAAUUGGAAAGGUUAAUGUUCUAGUUUCUGGAAGAUAAGCCUGGGAGGCACAUAAGCAAUUCACUGCUAUAAUUUAGUUGAUGUAAAAUGAUGGAAACUGACUCAAUAUUUCAGGUUUAGUUCUGCCCAAAAGCAGCAGACAUGUAAGCAGAUGUGCAAUAAAAAAUGAUCUUGAACCAUUUCACUAAUGUGUGCUUGACAUUUUUUACUAUAUUGACAUUUAUUAUGGAAAGAGUUAAUAAUUAUUUUUUCUGAUGUGCUACACUAAUGGCCAGUAUAUGGUUAAGUUGAUGCUGUAUUUAUUCCAAGAUGGAUUUAAAAAGGCAGUUUUCUAAAUAUGAACUUGUGAAUUUUUGUAUGUGUGUUUGAGUAAAUUGAGAAAUGAAUUUUAUGAAUGUUUUAUUGAUGUUGCAGUAAAGAAGCCUUUUGAAGUAAU
This 5498-nucleotide small RNA is filed under the name Pongo abelii (Sumatran orangutan). RNAcentral's name for it is "retained intron". The record is from RNAcentral. Lineage: Eukaryota; Metazoa; Chordata; Mammalia; Primates; Hominidae.